CCUGUGGAUAUAGUCUGCAUGGACAUUACUAAAGCCUAUGACGCCAUUUCCCACAGCAUUAUCCUUGAGAAAUCAGCAGCUGAUGGCUUGGGCAGGUGCACUGUUCACUGACUGAAGAACUGCCUGGAUGGCUGGGCCCAGAGUGUGGUGAACUGGAGAACUUGGUGUGAAGAACAGCACAACUUCCUAAGGCUCAGGAUGGGCCAUGUGACAGAAAGCUCUUUUAUGCCCCAAUGCUUCAGACCCUCUACCAUUCCCAGGCAUGGUAAUCACCACCAGUGGAGCUCUGAUUUACUUCUCCAUUUGAGUCUUCUCUUAUGCCACUUUUCACUAAAUGCUUCAGAAAAUCCAGGCCAGGCUCUGUGCUGACAGAAG
This is a long non-coding RNA of Passer domesticus (house sparrow), 375 nucleotides long. RefSeq lists it as uncharacterized. The transcript is spliced from 3 exons. The record is from RefSeq and is a predicted model, not a curated record. NCBI's taxonomy places the organism in Eukaryota, Metazoa, Chordata, Aves, Passeriformes, Passeridae.